AAAACUGGAAAGACAGCAGAUGCUCUGGCUGAAAUUUUAAAAAUCCACGAUGAACUGGAAAUCCAUGACAUCCACACCAAGCGCAUUACUGUUCUCCACGCCCUUCCAGUGUAUCUGCACGAGGACGUUUCUGGAUUUUUCAGAACCUGCACAGACGAGUCUGAUGAGCUGGAGCUUGAUGGCGUUGCAGUGGCCCUCCUUACGGUCAUCAGUGACAAUGACACACGUCCAGUUCACCACCACCCUGUGAGAAUCUCUGUAAUCAUUGAAAGUGAUGCCGUGGUCAGCCUCCCCAGACUUAGCGAUGCCUUCCUGGUAAUCUUUGGACUGAUAUAUGCACUACACCUCAGCUACCCCAAAGCACUGACCAACACUUUUGAAUUCACUGAAAAGAUUUUACUUGGUCUAGAAAGUGGUAAACUGUCACCCAGGUUGCAGACCCUCAAGAAUGACUUGUUGAUGUAAGUGACUGAUGGAGGAGGUGGAGAGGGAGGUGACUGA
Clupea harengus (Atlantic herring) is the source of this 501-nucleotide long non-coding RNA. RefSeq lists it as uncharacterized. Lineage: Eukaryota; Metazoa; Chordata; Actinopteri; Clupeiformes; Clupeidae. The record is from RefSeq and is a predicted model, not a curated record. The transcript has 3 exons.